AAUCACCUGGUGGAGCAGCUGGUCGCAAAGGAAACCUGCACCCUCUCGGCCCUUUCUGUAAUCAGUUUGAGAACUCUGCUUCACUGUGUACAGUCCUGGUUAGAAUUUCUGGCAACACAAAAUAAAAUUAAAAAAAAGCCUUAUUUUGAAAAAC
Molecule: long non-coding RNA, 154 nt
Organism: Thalassophryne amazonica
Lineage: Eukaryota; Metazoa; Chordata; Actinopteri; Batrachoidiformes; Batrachoididae
Exons: 2
Source: RefSeq, a predicted model, not a curated record